GAGUUUGAUCGUGGCUCAGAUUGAACGCUGGCGGCAUGCCUUACACAUGCAAGUCGAACGGCAGCAUGAUCUAGCUUGCUAGAUUGAUGGCGAGUGGCGAACGGGUGAGUAAUACAUCGGAACGUGCCCUGUAGUGGGGGAUAACUAGUCGAAAGAUUAGCUAAUACCGCAUACGACCUGAGGGUGAAAGUGGGAGACCGCAAGGCCUCAUGCUAUAGGAGCGGCCGAUGUCUGAUUAGCUAGUUGGUGGGGUAAAGGCCCACCAAGGCGACGAUCAGUAGCUGGUCUGAGAGGACGAUCAGCCACACUGGGACUGAGACACGGCCCAGACUCCUACGGGAGGCAGCAGUGGGGAAUUUUGGACAAUGGGCGAAAGCCUGAUCCAGCAAUGCCGCGUGUGUGAAGAAGGCCUGG
RNAcentral lists this ribosomal RNA (414 nucleotides) under uncultured microorganism. RNAcentral describes it as "bacterial SSU rRNA". It matches the Rfam family "Bacterial small subunit ribosomal RNA", at positions 9 to 419 of the family's 1533-position model. The record is from RNAcentral.